This 389-nucleotide ribosomal RNA is filed under the name uncultured bacterium. RNAcentral describes it as "bacterial SSU rRNA". It matches the Rfam family "Bacterial small subunit ribosomal RNA", at positions 28 to 417 of the family's 1533-position model. The record is from RNAcentral.
GACGAACGCUGGCGGCGUGCUUAACACAUGCAAGUCGAGCGGUAAGGCCCUUUCGGGGGUACACGAGCGGCGAACGGGUGAGUAACACGUGGGUGACCUGCCCUCAGCUCUGGGAGUAAGCCUGGGAAACUGGGUCUAAUACUGGAUAUGACUCCACGGUGCAUGUCGUGGGGUGGAAAGCCUUGUGCGGCUGAGGAUGGGCCCGCGGCCUAUCAGCUUGUUGGUGGGGUGAUGGCCUACCAAGGCGACGACGGGUAGCCGGCCUGAGAGGGCGACCGGCCACACUGGGACUGAGACACGGCCCAGACUCCUACGGGAGGCAGCAGUGGGGAAUCUUGCGCAAUGGGCGAAAGCCUGACGCAGCGACGCCGCGUGAGGGAUGACGGCCU